UCAAUCUCGAAAAUCCUAACUCUCUUAUUCCCUUUAUUCUCUUUUCGAUAGGCUACUUUCUCCCUCUAGCCUAGAUAAUCUUUCUCUUGCUAUUGUGCACUCUUGCUCUCUGGAUUACAUCGUCUUUAUAGAUCGUCUAUGUUUUGUCUGUCUCUGGUUAUCUCGAUAGGGCUGUCGUGCUGUCAAGUUAGGAUUUUCAGAGACGAGCUCCGAUUUCUAGGAGUGGAUUACGAGAAAAGAGAAUAGAUGUCUGGUUCUCUGAGUGUGAUGGUCUCUUUGGUGUCUAUCCGAAACCCUAGGUUUUCAAUUCCACUUUCCACAUUCUGGUUCGUAUUUGUUUUCAGUCGUCGCUACUUCUUCUUGAUUUUCAUUGUUUCAUUCGAUUUGGCGCGAAGAAAACUAACCUAAUUUCAUUGGUUGCAACUCCUGUCGUAAAAGUCGCAAAUUGGAAAGGCGAUUUCAACAGAACCGAUCCGGAUAAGUAGCUUUGAUUGUUGUUCUGCUGUAGGUUACUCGUGCUUAUUUUUUUACCUAACUCGUGUCUUAGGGUAAAGUAGAAGAAAUAAUCAGGGAUUCAAGAUUUCCUGUUCUAAUUUGUAAAAACUGUGAAGAUAACAAGUUGAUCUAAAAUUUAAGGCGUUAGAUAUUUGGAUUUAGGUGUAGUUAUUUCUUAAGUUAUUUUCUACUGCUAUAUAUUUGGUGUUAAAUUUGUUGUUAGAACUCAAAUUUGGUGCUAAUUUUUUGUUGGAACUCAAAUUUGUACUUUAAUUCAUUGUUUCUUCAAUUGUUGGCGCUCUUUUCAGACCUCGGUAGCUGCUCUCUAGGUGCUGGGCGCACGUGUGAUUAGAGGCAGCAUUGCCCCAGUUUUAGAAUGGAUCAUUUGCAUUUAUUCUUUAAGCUAGGCAAGAAAUGGAAUUUACGGGGAGAAUGAAAGGAUAGGAAGACUUGUGGUAAAGCUGCGAACGAGAAGUGAGUUUAUUAUUUAUAGAUUGUAUUUGUAGUUUCUCCCUCACCAUUUGUUAUCUUCGAUUUUGAUUUUCUUUUUAGAAGGGCAGGUGUUGUAGUUUUCUUUUGUUUAAUGAACUAUAAUGUAUUACUAGUUAUGUGAAUAUGUUAUUGAUAUAUGUUUUGUAUAUUAAAUAAAUAAAGAAAAAUGUCUUUUCUUAUAACUGACAAUCGUUUAAUAUCAUAAAGGCUCAAUACUAAAUAAGUCAUAUUAAUAAAGUUGAAGUUUAAAGAAAAAUAGGUUAGUAAUACCUUAAUGUUAGAAGUUAGGUCGUUAUAGUUGAAAUCUUUGAGGACCUAAUUAUCACUUUACUCGUUUUAAAAUUUCUUAGAGACUAAUAUGUUCUUGUAGAAAAACUAUGGGGACUUGUGUUUUUUUAACUCUGAAUGAGGACUUGUUUGCUCAUUAUUGAUUCAAUUCUUAAUUUUACAUGUUGCAAUAGGAGUAGCAAACGAGUCUGCUCGUCUUGCGCAACCAAAAGCCCACUAGCCCCGCCCCCCGUGCCGCUUAUUCUAACAAUCUUGAAAUAGCUCCCUACAAAUUAGGCAUGUCUGUCUUUUUUGGCGAGUUAAGCAGGUAAGCUCGACAGAUUGUAGCCUAUUUGCCACCACUAGUUAUUUUUUAUGGUGUUUUUUAACCUCAAGGCCUAUAAAGGUUAGAGGUUCGCUUGGUGAGUUUUUGUAUAACUUACAACUUUAGGCUCACUUCUUUUGUGUUAAUGUUACUAACAUCAUGAAGACAGUGUAUGAGAAUAGAAAACUCUUUCCUCAAAGGAUGGUGACACAACUUCAUAGUAGGUCUUGUCCUUGGACCUAUGGAACAAAGGAUGACUCUCUUGAAGUUGAGUUAAGGAUUGUGCAUCCUACUAAUGACCUAGCUCUAAAACUUGGGGAUCCACCCAGUCUAACCCGGCAGGGAACUCGGUUGGAAGUUUAAAAACCCCUAUCUUUGCCAUUAUUUUUGAAAACCUAUGAAAAAGAAAGAAUAAACUAACGACACAAUAAUCUAUGAUUUAACGCGAGUUCAAUAUGACUAACUGAGAAACUAUCCAUGAACACAAAUUGCUUCGUCAAUGGUGGAACGGUUUUUGGAAGGGGCACUGAUAACCCCCAAUUUUGUGGUUUAUCUUGUGCUUAAUUUAGGAGAUUUUAUUAAUUUUUCUCACAUUUAUUCAAUGAAAUAGCAUGGUUUUGUAAUUCUCCC
Arachis ipaensis is the source of this 2209-nucleotide non-coding RNA. The record is from RefSeq and is a predicted model, not a curated record. NCBI's taxonomy places the organism in Eukaryota, Viridiplantae, Streptophyta, Magnoliopsida, Fabales, Fabaceae.